This 301-nucleotide ribosomal RNA is filed under the name uncultured bacterium. RNAcentral describes it as "partial 16S ribosomal RNA". It matches the Rfam family "Bacterial small subunit ribosomal RNA", at positions 509 to 808 of the family's 1533-position model. The record is from RNAcentral.
CAGUAGCCGCGGGAAUACGUAUGUCACAAGCGUUAUCCGGAUUUAUUGGGCGUAAAGCGCGUCUAGGUGGUUAUGUAAGUCUGAUGUGAAAAUGCAGGGCUCAACUCUGUAUUGCGUUGGAAACUGUGUAACUAGAGUACUGGAGAGGUAAGCGGAACUACAAGUGUAGAGGUGAAAUUCGUAGAUAUUUGUAGGAAUGCCGAUGGGGAAGCCAGCUUACUGGACAGAUACUGACGCUAAAGCGCGAAAGCGUGGGUAGCAAACAGGAUUAGAUACCCCCGUAGUCCCUGUCUCUUAUACA